UAAUCUUUUUCAGACUUCUUUUUACCUAUUUGCGAGUACUAUUUUCUUCCUAUUUUUUGCACUUAAAUUUUUUAUGACAUGAUACAAAUUUGUGAACUAUUUUUUGUCUAUUUUCUAAACUUGCAUAUUUUCAUUGUUUAUGACUGGCAUCCUAUUCAAAAAGCCCGCUUCUCCUGCCAUUAUCUCUGUUGUUCAUUUUGCGACUUAUUGGUUGUUUUUAGCUGUGGGGUCACAUAUUGAAUAGUGAGCUCAAAGAUGACCAUAAAUAAACAAUGUGUAAAAAGAAAAUGUACGAAAUUUCAAUUUUGUUCCUUUAUUAAUAUUCUUGAUUUUAUUUACAAACUAUAGUAGUGACUAGUGCACUCAAAGAUAACCAUACAUAAACCAUGUGUAAAAAGAAAAUGUACACAUAGAAAUUUCAACCAAAAAAAAUCUCCUUUAUUAAUAGAAAAAAAAGCAUUCGAUCGAGAUAUUCCCGUUCUAUGUGUGCGCAAAGUUUCAACGUAGAGGACAGUACGCAAGUACGUAAUUUGAAAAUUACCCGUUAUUUUUUUCCCCCCACUGACACUGCUGUGCGCAUCGGACUUUUGCUGAUUUUCGUUCAUCAAACGUCUCCAAAUCACACCAAAAUGUCUUCCAGCAAUUAUUCUAGCGAUGAAAUUUCAUCAAGAGAUAGUGACUCCUCAUACUCCGAUGCCUCCUUAUCCCAUUUUAGUGAUUCUUCCCAAGAAAAUGAGCCCGACUAAUGUUCAAAAUAUUACUACUAGUCCCACUCGUAGAGAAACGAGUUUGUUGUCGAAUUACGGACCAUCGACGAGCGGAACUGGCCCCAGAAAACAGCUGAAAAGGUACGUUUAUUUCUGAAACUUAAUUAUAUUAUGAUAUAUAUAUUUUUAUUGUGUCUGUUGUUGAAUAUAAUGCUACUUCAUAGACAUAGUAGGCCUAUAGAAUGUUAUUUUACGUAUCAAUAUUCCCAUGUAGCUAGUGUUGAGGUUGUAGACUACACAACUUCUUAGUGAAGUGUAGUGAAUCUCCAAGUGCAGUGUAGUGUCUGUUAGUGAAUGAGUGAAUGUAAACAAACGUGAUUACAAUAAAUCCACGUAAAAAAAUUCAGAUUUUGUACCAUUACUACGUCUGUCAAUUAUUUUGCCUUGCAUGAUAUAAUGUUUUGAUGUGGUUUUAGGCUAAAUUGUAUCUCAAAUUAUUUUUCUAGGAAUCAGAAAACACAACGCAAGAAGAAGAGCAAGUCUUCCAAGUCCGAGAGUGUGUCUGCGAGAUCAAUUGAAACUAAUCAAGCUACAAUGUACAUGUAACGUACAACCACCAUUCGAUGCCUGUGAACAGCAUGACCAACAUCUGUAUCCUUUACAUUAGUAUUUGUUUCCAUUUUAUUAUGUAAUUCUUAUGUCUAAUCAUUGAGAUUCAUAGGCAAGUACAACAUGUAUGUGUACACAAUGAGUGCCUGCAUAUUGUGAAGAUAAAGGACCAUACAGUAAGACCAUUACUUAUGAUACAUGGUAAUGAUGGUAUACUUUGUAAAACUAUUUGAAAAUAGUAGCAUGUAAGUCUGUCAUUUUCUUGUUUAUAUAUAUCUCAAUGACAUGACAUGUCAUUGAUUUUGUAGUAAGUGUUUCUAGAUUAUGAUGAUUGUAUUAAGAUUUUGACAGUUCAAUUGAGAUUGAGAAAAUUAUGUAACAUGUCAACUGUACAAUAGAGCAUGCAUGCAUUGUUGAAAAAUCUGUUUUAUGAUUUAUUUUAUUUUGUUAUCUUUGUAAAUAACGAGAAUUUUUUUUUUACUUGUCAUGAUUUUCUUGAGGUUUGAAAAUGUUAUUACAUUAUUAAGAGCACUUUGCAAUUAAAUUGUAAUAAAAGAGACAGAAAACAACACUCUCAUGUCAAGAAUACUGCUUUAUUUGGUUACUAGUGAGGGAGAGAGCUUGUGAUCGCCUGGCAUAUCCACAUCGGCUCAGUAAUAGUCCUGAAACUCACCUGAAUACUUUAUUUGAACAAAAAUAGAAAGCUACAUUCUAGGUGGAUGAUAUUUUUUUAAGGCGGAGGCAUAUAGGAGACGCAGUCGCAUUUGUCUUGUUUUUGUUUUUUUAGAGUAUAAUCAUAGCAAACCAAGAACAACUCUAUUACUACAACAUGUACACUACAGUACUUAACCAAAGAUUGUAAAUAUCAGUUAAGUUCUUUUAUUUAUUUGCUUAUAUGAACACACAUACUAUACUAAACUCAUGUCAUUGUGUUUACCUCUCGAAAAUAAAGUACAUGUAUUUUA
Strongylocentrotus purpuratus (purple sea urchin) is the source of this 2281-nucleotide long non-coding RNA. RefSeq lists it as uncharacterized. The record is from RefSeq and is a predicted model, not a curated record. The transcript is spliced from 2 exons. NCBI's taxonomy places the organism in Eukaryota, Metazoa, Echinodermata, Echinoidea, Camarodonta, Strongylocentrotidae.